RNAcentral lists this non-coding RNA (30 nucleotides) under Rattus norvegicus (Norway rat). The record is from RNAcentral. Lineage: Eukaryota; Metazoa; Chordata; Mammalia; Rodentia; Muridae.
UACCGAAAGAUUAUUUUGACUUGCCUUAAU